GCAUCGGUGGUUCAGUGGUAGAAUGCUCGCCUCCCAGGCGGGUCGCCCGGGUUAAAUUCCCGGCCGAUGCA
Molecule: transfer RNA, 71 nt
Filed under: Heliconius melpomene (postman butterfly)
Lineage: Eukaryota; Metazoa; Arthropoda; Insecta; Lepidoptera; Nymphalidae
Description: tRNA HMEL007196
Rfam family: tRNA
About the family: Transfer RNA (tRNA) molecules are approximately 80 nucleotides in length. Their secondary structure includes four short double-helical elements and three loops (D, anti-codon, and T loops).
Source: RNAcentral